CAAGCGUUAUCCGGAUUCACUGGGGUUAAAGGGUGCGUAGGUGGGCAAGUAAGUCAGUGGUGAAAUCUCCGGGCUUAACCCGGAAACUGCCAUUGGUACUAUUUGUCUUGAAUACUGUGGAGGUCAGCGGAAUAUGUCAUGUAGCGGUGAAAUGCUUAGAUAUGACAUAGAACACCAAUUGCGAAGGCAGCUGGCUACACAAAUAUUGACACUGAGGCACGAAAGCGUGGGGAUCAAACAGG
This 242-nucleotide ribosomal RNA is filed under the name uncultured bacterium. Its description in RNAcentral is "partial 16S ribosomal RNA". It matches the Rfam family "Bacterial small subunit ribosomal RNA", at positions 535 to 776 of the family's 1533-position model. The record is from RNAcentral.